AACGGCCGUACCAUGCUGAAUAUACCGGUUCUCGUUAGAUCACCGAAGUUAAGCAUCAUUGGGCGCGGUCAGUACUUGGGUGGGUGAUCACCUGGGAACAUUGCGUGCCGUUU
Molecule: ribosomal RNA, 113 nt
Filed under: Caerostris darwini
Lineage: Eukaryota; Metazoa; Arthropoda; Arachnida; Araneae; Araneidae
Source: RNAcentral